Long non-coding RNA from Labeo rohita (rohu), 5745 nucleotides. RefSeq lists it as uncharacterized. The record is from RefSeq and is a predicted model, not a curated record. Lineage: Eukaryota; Metazoa; Chordata; Actinopteri; Cypriniformes; Cyprinidae. The transcript is spliced from 3 exons.
UAGCAAGUCACUAGCAUGAUUUUAGCAUGACUAGCAAAGUCGCUAGCAGGAUUUAUGCAUGACUAGCAAGUCGCUAGCAUGAUUUUAGCAUGACUAGCAAGUCACUAGCAUGAUUUUAGCAUGACUAGCAAAGUCGCUAGCAGGAUUUAAGCAUGACUAGCAAGUUGCUAGCAUGAUUUUAGGAUACAUUAUUGGAUAGAUAGAUAGAUAAGGUUUGAAGAUAGAUAGAUAGAUAGAUAGAUAGAUAGAUAGAUAAGGUUUGAAGAUAGAUAGAUAGAUAGUUAGAUAGAUAGAUAGAUUAGUUAUUAGUUAGAAAGAACAUAGAUAGCUUAAAGCUUAAUUGAGUAUCAAUGGCUUCUAGCAGUUUACAUUAAACAUAGUUCAAACAGACAUGGACUUUUGGUCAAUGAAAGUCUAUGGGACUUUUUAUGAUUUUUAAUAUUCAUUUUUAAGAAAACCGUAACUCAAACCAGUCUGAAAAGAUAUAGCACACUAAGUCAGAACAGUAUGAAGAUCUGACCCGAGUUUGGAGUAUGUAGCUUGAACGGUCUAGGAGGAGUUAGUGUCCAAAAAAUUUGCGCUCAGAAAAAUAAGAAGAAGAAGAAGAAGAAGAAGAAUAAGUUUAAAUAGGAUUUCAGUAAGUUGGCUUUCCCAAGCCAACUUAAUUAGUCUAUUUACAGAUGAAACUGACCUGCACUUGAGAUCCUGAACAGUUUUGCUUCUCUGCUUCACCUAGGCACUUCCACUCCAUUCUCAAAUCUCUCGCAUUGAUUACUCUGAUUGAAACUGUUUGGUGAAGGCAUGGAGCGUGCAAACUGAAGUUUAGCAUUGUCAGUCACAACUAACCCAUUCAUGAUUUAUUAGAGAUUUAUUAUUGAAUUGCCAAUUCGGAAAUAAUCGCUUUAGUAUGUUCAACAGGCAAUUAUAUAAUAAUAAUAAUAAUUAAGAAAAAAAUCAAGGCAGCAGGCCAAAUCAGCUGUCAAUUCUCCCCAUUCUCCCGAUGGCCAGUUCGUGCCUAGUUAUCAAGGUUCAGGCUUUUUAAGGCCUUUAAGCAAGUAUAGACAUUUUAAGAUGAUUUUUACCCAAAAAGACAAAAAAUAAUAAAUAAAAUCACUAGAAAUAAUAUUUAAUUAUUUAUCACUUUUAACCAAUAGGUGGCACUGCUCCCAAAUUGAUGUGAUGUGGUUACCUACGGGUGAGGAUGACACACACAUAGUUUGGUGCCAGUAUUUCAAAGAAAGACAGAGAAACAGAGCCUAGAUCAUUUAGGCAUUUUUCAUAUCUCCUGAUCUCUAGGUGGCACUGUGCUGAAACUGUGCAGGUAACCUCAGGACAUGGUCAUAAAUUCCAAGUUUGGUCUGAACAUGAUAAAGUAUUGAGGAAAUAUAGCCUCAUGUCCACUUUGGCGAGGUCUUCGUUAAAUUUAUUUGUGCGUUAUUUAAAGGAGAAGUCCACUUCCAAAACAAAAAUUUACAGAUAAUUUACUCACCCCCUUGUCAUCCAAGAUGUUAAUGUCUUUUUUACUUCAGUCGAUAAAAAAUUGUUUCUUGAGGAAAACAUUCCCGAAUUUUUCUCCAUAUAGUGGACUUCAGUAAUGCCCCCACAGUUUGAACUUCCAAAAUGCAGUUGAGGUACAGCUUCAAAUUAGGGCUGUCACGGUUGCAAUGACAACCAUGCCACCGCGGUCAUCGAUUGCCACCGGCAGUACUGCGUGUGACAUCACACAGUCUAUAACAAGCAUAAAAUACAGUGUUUCUGCAACAAUUAUUCUGCCGUGGCCGUGUUUAGUGUCCACGCCUGCAGCAGCAGCGAGUGCAAGUGCCUUCGCAGCUGCUGGAAGAGAUCCGCGUUCAAACGCACACAAUAGGCUAAAGCUUGCAAAGCUCCGGGAAAAGUAUUUACCAUGAAUGUGUCGGGGGGAAAUAAGGAGAUACUUGAAUGAAUUACUAAUAAACUAGUGUUAUCUGAGCCUGUGUCGCAAAGAUGACGAUUCUGACUCGCCAUCUGCUCAUUGGACACACCUUUAUAGAGAAAUGCAUCUCUACGGAUUUUAUAAUGAAAAAGUUUUUGUUUUCGAUUUGAUUUUUUUUUAGUUUUAAAGUAGUAAAGUAACAAUUUAAAGCUUUCUAUAGAUAUAUUUAUCCUGACUGUAAGGCAAGUAGUCACUGAGUUUCGUUUAAUUUUUGUGCAGCGCUCCUGUUCAACACCGAGACAUCAGAAAGCGCAUCUUGUUUGUAUUCUUUAUUUUUACAAAAGCACAACAUUUUGUUGAUAUUGUGAGUGCACACAAAUAAUAUGAGACCCUUUAUAGUUCCGGAUGAUAUAUUACGCUUACCUUUAUGAGCAAAGAUUAUGGCGUAUUUUAACUUUUUUGCAAGUGAUUGCGCUGGCGCCUCCAUGUCCUGCAAAGCGCAUUUUGCUUCCACUCUCCAACAAACGAGUGUAUGCGCAUAAUAGCGUGCAUUUAUCUAAGUUAUUUGUGAUAUGUGAUACAAUAUCAUUGUGAUAUGCUUGAAGAUUUUAUUUUAGGCAAGUCGUGAUGAUUUGAGAAGGCAAAAUUGAUCGAACAUAGGCUGUGAUCAACUGCCUGCCUCUGGCCGCUUGGUCGUUACUUUAAAAAGUUACUUUACCUUAAUUUAACAAACAAAAAAUGUCCCAAACGUAUUUCUAAAUUAACUUUAUAAAGAAACAAAAAGAAAUAUAAUCACAUUCCUAUUAAAAACAAAACUGAGGUAUUUUAAUGGAUGCAACAGUAUAAUGGGAAAGAGAGAGAAGACUCGGGCUCCAGUCGGACUCGGGCCGGUAAUUUUGAUGAGCCGUCGGACAAGGGUUGGGCGAGGUUGUUACGAAUUUAUGCAACAAAUGUUUUUAAUAUUUACCAUUCUUAUUUUGGCUACUUUCUUUUUUAACUAUAUAAUUUCUUUGAUAUUUACUUUAGUGUUUUGUAGGCUGAAAUAAACAUGCACGUUUAUUAAUAAUUUUUGAGCCUCAUUUUUUUAUGUUUCAAAAUUAUAUAUAUAUAUAUAUAUCUGAACACCGCAUGACCGACGGUAGUUUGUCCAUGGCAGUGGAAAAAAUCUGCCACCAUCACAGCCCUACUUCAAAUGGCUCUAAACGAUCCCAGUCGAGGUAUCUAGCAAAACGAUCUGUCAUUUUUAAAACAAAUUGACAAUUUAAUUACUUUUUAAUAGGGGUGUGACGAGACACUAAUCCCACGAGACGAGACGAGACACGAGAUUGGGUUCACGAGAACGAGACGAGACAAGAUUUUUAAACUUUUCUUAAGAAAUCCUCAAUGAUGAAAUAUAUUGGGAAAAUAGUCUUUUAUUCAACUGAAAAACAAAAAUGCAAAAAAAUUAAGGUGCAUUUUGAACUUUAUGAAAUUAAACUUCAAUUUUAAUGAAUAAUAUGCAGUAAUAAACAACAUUUAAACAAGAGCUUCAUGAUUCUGGAUAAAUUGAGAAUCCUAGUUGUUUUUUAUAAAUGGGAGAUUACGAUUCUCUCACGAUUCUGGAGAAAAAAAGAUUAGAAAACUAAACAAAAUAACUAUUUACUAGUGGUUCUGACAAACUUUUCAUUGCUUAAGUCUUUUAAAAACAUAUAUUCAUUUAAACAAAACAAAACAAAACAAAAAACAUUCAAUAAAGGAGAGUGUCUCACUUCAUUAAGACUUCUUUGACUAUUGAAAUCUCCUGAAUGAAUGAUUCAAUGACAUACUUUUUUUUUAAACGGGCAGUUGUCGCCACCUCCUGGCGGAAGAGGAGAAGCGUUACAAUAGAUACACGUGUUAAAAUACUUUAAUUUUGAUCGCUACUGUAGACAAUAAGUGUUUAUACCCAAACUAUAAACUUUUAUCCCAGUACUUCUAUUAUUUAAAUAUCUGUAACACAGAAAUAAUGAUUAUAAUGUGGUUGAAAAGACUGUUUGUGUUGCUCUUUCUGCGUUCACAUUUACUCCGACCUUCUGAUUCAUUAAUAUGGGCAGCGACAAAACCUGCUUCUCACGCUCCACUGACACUGGCGAUGUGAAACAGUCCUAAUAGACAUAGAUAACUCGUUGUCAUUUAGGAAUAAAAUCGCGUGGGUGUUUGAAUCGACACCUCAAUAUUUUAAGGAUUAAUAGUGCAAUGUAAACAUGGCAAAAUGUUGUGGGAGGAUACUGUCACGAGAUCUCGCGAGAUCCGACUGGUCUCGCGAGACACAUCGGAUCUCGCGAGAUCUCGUGCCACGAGAUCUCGUCACAUCCCUACUUUUUAACCUCAAACACUUGUCUUGUCUAAGUCUGCGUUAACUCUGUUUUUUUUUUUUUCAAUACGGUUGAAAAACUCCCAUCUUGUUUUCUUUCCUAACUUCAAAAUCGUCCUACAUCACUGCAGAAGUACCAACCCAGUGUUUACAAAAUGAACAUGCAGAGAAGAUUAAACGGCCUUUACAAAAAAAAAAAAAAAAAAAACGCUAAAACAGCAAUGUAGGAUGACUUUGACGUUGAAGAAAAUGAGAUGGAAGUUUUCCCACAUACCCUAACUAUAUUGACCCGGAUUACACAGACUAUGCAUGCACAUCGCAAACAUGAGACAAGACGGUUGAGCUUAAAAAAAGUAAAUAAGUUGUCAAUUUGUUUAAAAAAUGGUUUCGCUAGGUAAGAAAAAAAAUCGUUUCGCUAGGUAAGACCCUUCUUCUUUGGCUGUGAUCGUUUAGAGCCAUUUAAAGCUGCUUUUAAAUUGCAUUUUAGAAGUUCAAACUUGGGGGCACCAUUGAAGUCCACUACAUGGGGAAAAAUUUGGGAAUGUUUUCCUCAAGAAACAUGAUUUCUUAUCGAAUGAAGUAAGAAAGACAUUGAACAUCUUGGAUGACAAGGGGUGAGUAAAUUAUUUGUAAAUUUUUGUUCUGGAAGUGGACUUCUCCUUUAACUCCCUGGGGUCAAUGGUCGUGCCAGCAUGAUCAGCUCAGUCUUUUUUAAGGUCAGUGCAAAAGACACUAAAAGCACUAAAAGUCGAUUUUGGUCACACAAAUAAGAGUUGUACAUAAUUCAAAACCAUUAAGUGUCUACUUUUAUUUGUGUACACUCACAAUAACAAAACUCUGUGCUUUUGUAAAAUAAAGAAAACAAACAGGGUGUGCUCUGUUUGAAUUAAACUCAGUGAAUACUUGACAAACAGACAUUUCUUUCCCAUCUGAGCUAAUUAUUUUUAAUGUGAUCACGCCCAUGAGCUACUUUCUCUUUUGAUAUUAAAAUCGUCCACGUGAGAUGUGUGGACUUGUAAAUGCCCACAUCAUCUCCAUAAACGAAGCUUGACAAUUCAUCAAGUUCAUCUCGGUAACUGUUCAUUUGUGGAUGAAGACGCACUGAGAGGAAUAACCCAGAAUUUAGCUCAGAAAAAAGAACAAGAUGUGACGUGCAACUUGAUCCAGCAGAGGAGAUCAUGCUGAUGAUGACCUGCACCACAGGUGAAUCCUGCUGACUUUUACUUGAGUCUCUUCAAACUGUUUUCCUCUGAGAGUGCUGUACCAACAUCAGAUGUUCAACUACACUGUUAUUCUAUGGUAAAACAAGCUCCCUGACUACUGAUGAUGGUGUUUCCAUGAAUCCAUGGAAAGAAGAAGCAAACACUUAAAUAUCAGGUAGCCUAUGGUGUACUGGUUUCACUUGUUAAACAGAAUCUGUUUUUAGGAAGGACACAAAGUCUGUUCACAUCUCUGUGGUUAGAUCAGUGUAUAAUGUAUCAUAAUGUGUCUUUGAUCUUCA